CCGGGGGAACUGAAACAUCUAAGUACCCCGAGGAAAAGAAAUCAACUGAGAUUCCCCCAGUAGCGGCGAGCGAACGGGGAGCAGCCCAGAGCCUGAAUCAGUGUGUGUGUUAGUGGAAGCGUCUGGAAAGGCGCGCGAUACAGGGUGACAGCCCCGUACACAAAAAUGCACAUGCUGUGAGCUCGAUGAGUAGGGCGGGACACGUGGUAUCCUGUCUGAAUAUGGGGGGACCAUCCUCCAAGGCUAAAUACUCCUGACUGACCGAUAGUGAACCAGUACCGUGAGGGAAAGGCGAAAAGAACCCCGGCGAGGGGAGUGAAAAAGAACCUGAAACCGUGUACGUACAAGCAGUGGGAGCACAGAGCAAUCUGUGUGACUGCGUACCUUUUGUAUAAUGGGUCAGCGACUUAUAUUCUGUAGCAAGGUUAACCGAAUAGGGGAGCCGAAGGGAAACCGAGUCUUAACUGGGCGUUAAGUUGCAGGGUAUAGACCCGAAACCCGGUGAUCUAGCCAUGGGCAGGUUGAAGGUUGGGUAACACUAACUGGAGGACCGAACCGACUAAUGUUGAAAAAUUAGCGGAUGACUUGUGGCUGGGGGUGAAAGGCCAAUCAAACCGGGAGAUAGCUGGUUCUCCCCGAAAGCUAUUUAGGUAGCGCCUCGUGAAUUCAUCUCCGGGGGUAGAGCACUGUUUCGGCAAGGGGGUCAUCCCGACUUACCAACCCGAUGCAAACUGCGAAUACCGGAGAAUGUUAUCACGGGAGACACACGGCGGGUGCUAACGUCCGUCGUGAAGAGGGAAACAACCCAGACCGCCAGCUAAGGUCCCAAAGUCAUGGUUAAGUGGGAAACGAUGUGGGAAGGCCCAGACAGCCAGGAUGUUGGCUUAGAAGCAGCCAUCAUUUAAAGAAAGCGUAAUAGCUCACUGGUCGAGUCGGCCUGCGCGGAAGAUGUAACGGGGCUAAACCAUGCACCGAAGCUGCGGCAGCGACGCUUAUGCGUUGUUGGGUA
This 1009-nucleotide ribosomal RNA is filed under the name Escherichia coli. RNAcentral's name for it is "partial 23S ribosomal RNA". It matches the Rfam family "Bacterial large subunit ribosomal RNA", at positions 184 to 1230 of the family's 2925-position model. The record is from RNAcentral. Lineage: Bacteria; Pseudomonadati; Pseudomonadota; Gammaproteobacteria; Enterobacterales; Enterobacteriaceae.